This 500-nucleotide ribosomal RNA is filed under the name uncultured bacterium. Its description in RNAcentral is "partial 16S ribosomal RNA". It matches the Rfam family "Bacterial small subunit ribosomal RNA", at positions 30 to 523 of the family's 1533-position model. The record is from RNAcentral.
AUUGAACGCUGGCGGCAGGCCUAAAACAUGCAAGUCGAGCGGUUGAAGGGAGCUUGCUCCCUGAUUCAGCGGCGGACGGGUGAGUAAUGCCUAGGAAUCUGCCUAUUAGUGGGGGACAACGUUUCGAAAGGAACGCUAAUACCGCAUACGUCCUACGGGAGAAAGCAGGGGACCUUCGGGCCCUGCGCUAAUAGAUGAGCAUAGGUCGGAUUAGGUUGUUGGUGAAGUAAUAGCUCACUAAGGCGACGAUCCGUAACUGGUCUGAGAGGAUGAUCAGUCACACUGGAACUGAGACACGGUCCAGACUCCUACGGGAGGCAGCAGUGGGGAAUAUUGGACAAUGGGCGAAAGCCUGAUCCAGCCAUGCCGCGUGUGUGAAGAAGGUCUUCGGAUUGUAAAGCACUUUAAGUUGGGAGGAAGGGUUGUAGAUUAAUACUCUGCAAUUUUGACGUUACCGACAGAAUAAGCACCGGCUAACUCUGUGCCAGCAGCCGCCGUAA